This 1327-nucleotide ribosomal RNA is filed under the name uncultured fungus. RNAcentral's name for it is "eukaryotic LSU rRNA". The stretch from base 659 to 1327 matches the Rfam family "Eukaryotic large subunit ribosomal RNA", at positions 1 to 649 of the family's 3401-position model. Lineage: Eukaryota; Fungi. The record is from RNAcentral.
AAGUCGUAACAAGGCUUCCGUAGGUGAACCUGCGGAAGGAUCAUUAUUGAAGUAGAUUCGGGUUGAUGCUGGCUAGGGAAACUUAGUAUGUGCUCGCCUGUUCACUCCUUUCUUCUCUCCUGUGCACCUCUCGCUAGACUAUGAAUAUCUAUCUCAAGUUGUAAUGACUUGUGUAUUGGGGAUUGCAUCUAACCCAUGCUUUCCCUUGCCUUUCAUAGUCUAUGUUUUUCUACACCCCAAUGUAUGUUUUUGAAUGUCUUUUUUUGUGGGUUCUUGUAACCUAUAAAAUCUUAUACAACUUUUAACAACGGAUCUCUUGGUUCUCCCAUCGAUGAAGAACGCAGCGAAAUGCGAUAAGUAAUGUGAAUUGCAGAAUUCAGUGAAUCAUCGAAUCUUUGAACGCACCUUGCACCCUUUGGUAUUCCGAAGGGUAUGCCUGUUUGAGUGUCAUUAAAUUAUCAACCAUCUGAGUUUUCGAACUUCACUUGGCUUGNAUGUGGGGGUUGCGGGCUUCUAACGAGGUCGGCUCCUCUUAAAUGCAUUAGUGNAAACCGUUUGUAGNAUUCAUUUCACUUGACGUGAUAAUUAUCUUCGUCUUGUAGUGUUUCUGAGGUAUCUGCUUCUAACAGUCUCUUCAAUGUAGACAAAUGACUUUGUUUGACCUCAAAUCAGGUAGGACUACCCGCUGAACUUAAGCAUAUCAAUAAGCGGAGGAAAAGAAACUAACAAGGAUUCCCCUAGUAACUGCGAGUGAAGCGGGAAAAGCUCAAAUUUAAAAUCUGGCAGUCGUAUGAUUGUCCGAGUUGUAAUUUAGAGAAGUGUUAUCCGCGUUGGACCGUGUACAAGUCUCCUGGAAUGGAGCGUCAUAGAGGGUGAGAAUCCCGUCUUUGACACGGACUACCAAGGCUUUGUGAUACGCUCUCGAAGAGUCGAGUUGUUUGGGAAUGCAGCUCAAAAUGGGUGGUAAAUUCCAUCUAAAGCUAAAUAUUGGGGAGAGACCGAUAGCGAACAAGUACCGUGAGGGAAAGAUGAAAAGAACUUUGGAAAGAGAGUUAAACAGUACGUGAAAUUGUUAAAAGGGAAACGCUUGAAGUCAGUCGCAUUUGCUUGAAAUCAACCUUGCUCUUUUGCUUGGUGUACUUUCUUGUCGAUGGGUCAACAUCAGUUUUGACUGUUGGAAAAAGAUUAGAGGAAUGUGGCAUCGUAUGAUGUGUUAUAGCCUUUAGUUGUAUACAAUAGUUGGGACUGAGGAACUCAGCAUGCCGCAAGGCCGGGUACUUGUACCACGUACAUGCUUAGGAUGUUGACAUAAUGGCUUUAAUCGACC